CAGGGAAUAGUUUAAGA
RNAcentral lists this transfer RNA (17 nucleotides) under Canis lupus familiaris (dog). RNAcentral's name for it is "partial tRNA-Pro". Lineage: Eukaryota; Metazoa; Chordata; Mammalia; Carnivora; Canidae. The record is from RNAcentral.